GAUGAAGAACGCAGCGAAAUGCGAUAAGUAGUGUGAAUUGCAGAAUUCAGUGAAUCAUCGAAUCUUUGAACGCACAUUGCGCCCCUUGGUAUCCCGAGGGGCAUGCCUGUUCGAGCGUCAUUUCACCACUCAAGCCUGGCUUGGUGUUGGGCGACGUCCCCUUUGGGGACGCGCCUCGAAACGCUCGGCGGCGUGGCACCGGCUUUAAGCGUAGCAGAAUCUUUCGCUUUGGAAGUCGGGGCCCCGUCUGCCGGAAGACCUACUCGCAAGGUUGACCUCGGAUCAGGCAGGGAUACCCGCUGAACUUAAGCAUAUCCAAUAAGCGGAGGA
RNAcentral lists this unclassified non-coding RNA (330 nucleotides) under soil metagenome. Its description in RNAcentral is "partial contains 5.8S ribosomal RNA, internal transcribed spacer 2, and large subunit ribosomal RNA". The stretch from base 1 to 120 matches the Rfam family "5.8S ribosomal RNA", at positions 35 to 154 of the family's 154-position model. The record is from RNAcentral.